UCGACGGUACAGGAAGAAGCUUGCUUCUUUGCUGACGAGUGGCGGACGGGUGAGUAAUGUCUGGGAAACUGCCUGAUGGAGGGGGAUAACUACUGGAAACGGUAGCUAAUACCGCAUAACGUCGCAAGACCAAAGAGGGGGACCUUCGGGCCUCUUGCCAUCGGAUGUGCCCAGAUGGGAUUAGCUAGUAGGUGGGGUAACGGCUCACCUAGGCGACGAUCCCUAGCUGGUCUGAGAGGAUGACCAGCCACACUGGAACUGAGACACGGUCCAGACUCCUACGGGAGGCAGCAGUGGGGAAUAUUGCACAAUGGGCGCAAGCCUGAUGCAGCCAUGCCGCGUGUAUGAAGAAGGCCUUCGGGUUGUAAAGUACUUUCAGCGGGGAGGAAGGGAGUAAAGUUAAUACCUUUGCUCAUUGACGUUACCCGCAGAAGAAGCACCGGCUAACUCCG
RNAcentral lists this ribosomal RNA (452 nucleotides) under uncultured bacterium. RNAcentral's name for it is "bacterial SSU rRNA". It matches the Rfam family "Bacterial small subunit ribosomal RNA", at positions 62 to 505 of the family's 1533-position model. The record is from RNAcentral.